Molecule: ribosomal RNA, 459 nt
Filed under: uncultured bacterium
Lineage: Bacteria
Description: partial 16S ribosomal RNA
Rfam family: Bacterial small subunit ribosomal RNA
Source: RNAcentral
GCUACGGGUGGCAGCAGUGAGGAAUAUUGGUCAAUGGCCGCAGGGCUGAACCAGCCAAGUCGCGUGAGGGAUGACGGUCCUAUGGAUUGUAAACCUCUUUUGUCAGGGAGCAAAGGGCGCCACGUGUGGCGCUUUGCGAGUACCUUAUGAAUAAGCAUCGGCUAACUCCGUGCCAGCAGCCGCGGUAAUACGGAGGAUGCGAGCGUUAUCCGGAUUUAUUGGGUUUAAAGGGUGCGGAGAGGGAAUGUCAAGUCAGCGGUAAAAUUUCGGGGCUCAACCCCGACGUGCCGUUGAAACUGGCGGUCUUGAGUGCGCGAGAAGUAUGCGGAAUGCGUGGUGUAGCGGUGAAAUGCAUAGAUAUCACGCAGAACUCCGAUUGCGAAGGCAGCAUACUGGAGUUCAACUGACGCUCAUGCACGAAAGCGUGGGUAUCGAACAGGAUUAGAUACCCUGGUAGUC